UGCAGUCGNNCGGCAGCGCGGGGCAACCUGGCGGCGAGUGGCGAACGGGUGAGUAAUAUAUCGGAACGUGCCCUGGAGUGGGGGAUAACGCAGCGAAAGUUGCGCUAAUACCGCAUACGAUCUAAGGAUGAAAGCGGGGGAUUCGCAAGAACCUCGUGCUCCUGGAGCGGCCGAUAUCUGAUUAGCUAGUUGGUGGGGUAAAGGCCUACCAAGGCAUCGAUCAGUAGCUGGUCUGAGAGGACGACCAGCCACACUGGAACUGAGACACGGUCCAGACUCCUACGGGAGGCAGCAGUGGGGAAUUUUGGACAAUGGGCGCAAGCCUGAUCCAGCAAUGCCGCGUGAGUGAAGAAGGCCUUCGGGUUGUAAAGCUCUUUUGUCAGGGAAGAAACGGUGCGGGCUAAUAUCCUGCACUAAUGACGGUACCUGAAGAAUAAGCACCGGCUAACUACGUGCCAGCAGCCGCGGUAAUACGUAGGGUGCAAGCGUUAAUCGGAAUUACUGGGCGUAAAGCGUGCGCAGGCGGUUUUGUAAGUUUGUCGUGAAAUCCCCGGGCUCAACCUGGGAAUUGCGAUGAAGACUGCAAGGCUAGAAUCUGGCAGAGGGGGGUAGAAUUCCACGUGUAGCAGUGAAAUGCGUAGAGAUGUGGAGGAACACCGAUGGCGAAGGCAGCCCCCUGGGUCAAGAUUGACGCUCAUGCACGAAAGCGUGGGGAGCAAACAGGAUUAGAUACCCUGGUAGUCCACGCCCUAAACGAUGUCUACUAGUUGUCGGGUUUUAAUUAACUUGGUAACGCAGCUAACGCGUGAAGUAGACCGCCUGGGGAGUACGGUCGCAAGAUUAAAACUCAAAGGAAUUGACGGGGACCCGCACAAGCGGUGGAUGAUGUGGAUUAAUUCGAUGCAACGCGAAAAA
RNAcentral lists this ribosomal RNA (915 nucleotides) under uncultured bacterium. Its description in RNAcentral is "bacterial SSU rRNA". It matches the Rfam family "Bacterial small subunit ribosomal RNA", at positions 56 to 968 of the family's 1533-position model. The record is from RNAcentral.